GUGGGGAAUCUUGCGCAAUGGGCGAAAGCCUGACGCAGCCAUGCCGCGUGAAUGAUGAAGGUCUUAGGAUUGUAAAAUUCUUUCACCGGGGACGAUAAUGACGGUACCCGGAGAAGAAGCUCCGGCUAACUUCGUGCCAGCAGCCGCGGUAAUACGAAGGGGGCUAGCGUUGCUCGGAAUUACUGGGCGUAAAGGGCGCGUAGGCGGACAGCUUAGUCAGAGGUGAAAGCCCAGGGCUCAACCUUGGAAUUGCCUUUGAUACUGGCUGUCUUGAGUUUGGGAGCGGUGAGUGGAGCUCCGAGUGUAGAGGUGAAAUUCGUAGAUAUUCGGAAGAACACCAGUGGCGAAGGCGACUCACUGGCCCAAUACUGACGCUGAGGCGCGAAAGCGUGGGGAGCAAACAGGAUUAGAUACCCCUGUAGUCC
This 425-nucleotide ribosomal RNA is filed under the name uncultured bacterium. RNAcentral's name for it is "partial 16S ribosomal RNA". It matches the Rfam family "Bacterial small subunit ribosomal RNA", at positions 354 to 796 of the family's 1533-position model. The record is from RNAcentral.